UCUUCAAAUUGUUAUUAACCAGCAAGACCCUUUUACUUUCAUAUGCAGAAGUAAAGAGCUGUGUAGUUGUUUUUUUUUUUCUCCUAUUAUUUAUUUUAUUUUUAAACAAAGCAACCUAGAGAGAUAAAGAUUUGUUUCCUUCCUUUAGAGACCAAUGGUUGUUUUCUACUCAGGUCACGCCAGAGAUUGAGGGUAAAAAGAAAAAAAAAAGAAUUUUUAAUAGUGCUGAAUUGACUAUUUUUGUUCAUUUUACAGUAUCAUGCUUCUCUGACAUGUUUACUUUACAAAUGCUUCAGCUCAUGGCCAUGACUUAUUUUGAAUGGUAAAGUAUAUAAUUAAUGUCAAGGUGAAAGGCGAUUAUGCUUGUGAACACUCCUCUAUGCCCUCCAGAAACCACUUAUGAAGCCAAUUUAGGUCACACAUGGUUCAGUCUCUCGGAAAUCUUUCUUAGUAAAGCCCCGAGGCACUCUCUUUUACUGAGCAAUUAACAGAAAGCCAGCUCCUUGUGCUAUUGUGGGGAAAUGAUAAUUUGUGGAGAAGGGGGAAGGACUGUCUAAGACACACAAAUGUUUCUUCAUAUAGCUCUCUUGAAAGCUGAAAAUGCAAUUUAAAUGGGCAGUUAAGGUAGAGAGCAACAAACGUCCAAAAUGCCAGAAUGGAAGUGCUUAUUUGUUAAAUACAGUAUUUUGAGGCUUUCCAUCACCUUCUGUUAAAUUUUUCCUGGCUAUUUGAACAGAUGUUUCUGAAGAAACCCCCUCGGCAAGCCACGCUGCAAAGGAAUAGUUCCCAGAUCUUGGCAUAUCUGGAUGUACUGCUGCACCCUGAAACCUCUGUGCAGAUGACAUCAUCUCCUGAACACGGAGUUGCUGUAGACCUCACCACCGAGGUGAAUUUGUUACUGCCACUCACUAGAGAGAGAAGGAGCUCCCGCACUGUUGGCUGAGGUUACCUGUCCUGUGCCUGUUUGGCUCACAGGGGAUGUGGGACAGAGAUCUGCAGGUGUCUCAGUACUCAGGAGCCUUAUCUCCAAGGAGAUUUUUUUUUUAAAGAGCUUCUCAGGGAGCUACAGCAUUUCCCCUGUCACAGACAAUGAGUCAUGCAGAGCUGCUUUAACAAAAAAGAAUUUGCAGUAAUCUGGAUGUAAUGGUUUUCUUUCACAGGAAAUAAUGAACAAGAAUUCAGUUCAGCUGUUUAUAACAGCGAUCAGAGGGACUUCUCUGGCUAUUAUGGCAGUUCAGGGUGUAAGGCAGUCCAGUUAACGUGCCAGAAAAGAAAUAAUAAAGAUUUCAAGAGCACAGUCA
RNAcentral lists this long non-coding RNA (1301 nucleotides) under Anser cygnoides (Swan goose). RNAcentral's name for it is "lncRNA (ENSACDG00005003689.1)". Lineage: Eukaryota; Metazoa; Chordata; Aves; Anseriformes; Anatidae. The record is from RNAcentral.